RNAcentral lists this ribosomal RNA (253 nucleotides) under uncultured bacterium. RNAcentral's name for it is "partial 16S ribosomal RNA". It matches the Rfam family "Bacterial small subunit ribosomal RNA", at positions 524 to 776 of the family's 1533-position model. The record is from RNAcentral.
UACGGAGGAUGCAAGCGUUAUCCGGAAUGAUUGGGCGUAAAGCGUCCGCAGGUGGCUGUGUAAGUCUGCUGUCAAAGAGCGAAGCUCAACUUCGUAAAGGCAGUGGAAACUACACGGCUAGAGUGCGUUCGGGGCAGAGGGAAUUCCUGGUGUAGCAGUGAAAUGCGUAGAGAUCAUGAGGAAGACCAGUGGCGAAGGCGGGUCUCUGGACAGUUCCUGACACUGAGGCACGAAGGCCAGGGGAGCAAACGGG